Molecule: long non-coding RNA, 862 nt
Organism: Ixodes scapularis (black-legged tick)
Lineage: Eukaryota; Metazoa; Arthropoda; Arachnida; Ixodida; Ixodidae
Exons: 4
Source: RefSeq, a predicted model, not a curated record
GGACGACAACAAUUUCUUUCUUUUUGUCUCUAUUGGUCCCUCUCAAAACAAAUGCAUUUCUGUGACCAUUGACUACUCUGCCAUACAAAUGUCUGCUGCAUGCACCAUAUUGUGGGGUUUCAUUUUGUGCCUUCAAAAUUUACAGGUUCACUGCAAGUCUCGGUACAAAAAUCGAACGUGGCAGGCUCCAUCCUAAUAAGAACUGUUGGUCAGCGCUCUGUGCUUAAACAAAGAGCGGUUCCCUCAUUCCUGGCAGCAGGCUCCUCCGUCCAGCCAUGUACACCGCAAGGGACGACUGCCUCAAAGGGUGCGGUUCCCUCAUCCCUGGCAGCAGGCUCCUUCUUCCAGCCAGGUACACCACAGGGGACGAGUGCCUCGAAGGUGCGGUUCCCUCAUUCCUGGCAGCAGGCUCCUCCGUCCAGUCAUGUACACCUCCCCAGGGUCCAAUAGGUCAAUCAAUUCUUGGUGCUCCCCUUCUUCGUCAUCGGUUGCCCAGAUUCCUCGCCAGAAAUUAAUCACCUGAUCAACAUCAAUGUUCUCGUCCAUCUCCUUCUGGUCUUCGUCAAGUUUCCGGUAGAAGGCAGACCGAUUGAGCUCGAACAGCUUGUUCGUUUUCCGAUACACAAUCCGGUUUGCCGCAGUGGCUCGUUUUUUGUGAAAGACUGCCCUUUCCUCUUCGAUCUAGUCCUCAAGCUUCUUCAACUGGUCCUUAUUGUUAGAGUGGUACUGGUUGGCUUAGCAAAUUCGUUUUAAUGCUCUCGAGGGAGCCUUGUUCUGUAUGACUGGCGACAAUUUGCAGCUGUUGACUAAGCUCCUUUAUCUUUAAUUUAAUGGCCUCCUUCCAGUUCAACUUCCUUUUGUC